UACAGAGGUCUCAAGCGUUGUUCGGAUUCAUUGGGCGUAAAGGGUGCGUAGGCGGCGCGGUAAGUCGGAUGUGAAAUCUCGGAGCUUAACUCCGAAACUGCAUUCGAUACUGCCGUGCUUGAGGACUGGAGAGGAGACUGGAAUUUACGGUGUAGCGGUGAAAUGCGUAGAUAUCGUAAGGAAGACCAGUGGCGAAGGCGGGUCUCUGGACAGUUCCUGACGCUGAGGAGCGAAAGCGUGGGGAGCAAACAGG
Molecule: ribosomal RNA, 253 nt
Filed under: uncultured bacterium
Lineage: Bacteria
Description: partial 16S ribosomal RNA
Rfam family: Bacterial small subunit ribosomal RNA
Source: RNAcentral